This 2925-nucleotide ribosomal RNA is filed under the name Escherichia coli. RNAcentral's name for it is "23S ribosomal RNA". It matches the Rfam family "Bacterial large subunit ribosomal RNA". Lineage: Bacteria; Pseudomonadati; Pseudomonadota; Gammaproteobacteria; Enterobacterales; Enterobacteriaceae. The record is from RNAcentral.
GGGUUGUGAGGUUAAGCGACUAAGCGUACACGGUGGAUGCCCUGGCAGUCAGAGGCGAUGAAGGACGUGCUAAUCUGCGAUAAGCGUCGGUAAGGUGAUAUGAACCGUUAUAACCGGCGAUUUCCGAAUGGGGAAACCCAGUGUGUUUCGACACACUAUCAUUAACUGAAUCCAUAGGUUAAUGAGGCGAACCGGGGGAACUGAAACAUCUAAGUACCCCGAGGAAAAGAAAUCAACCGAGAUUCCCCCAGUAGCGGCGAGCGAACGGGGAGCAGCCCAGAGCCUGAAUCAGUGUGUGUGUUAGUGGAAGCGUCUGGAAAGGCGCGCGAUACAGGGUGACAGCCCCGUACACAAAAAUGCACAUGCUGUGAGCUCGAUGAGUAGGGCGGGACACGUGGUAUCCUGUCUGAAUAUGGGGGGACCAUCCUCCAAGGCUAAAUACUCCUGACUGACCGAUAGUGAACCAGUACCGUGAGGGAAAGGCGAAAAGAACCCCGGCGAGGGGAGUGAAAAAGAACCUGAAACCGUGUACGUACAAGCAGUGGGAGCACGCUUCGGCGUGUGACUGCGUACCUUUUGUAUAAUGGGUCAGCGACUUAUAUUCUGUAGCAAGGUUAACCGAAUAGGGGAGCCGAAGGGAAACCGAGUCUUAACUGGGCGUUAAGUUGCAGGGUAUAGACCCGAAACCCGGUGAUCUAGCCAUGGGCAGGUUGAAGGUUGGGUAACACUAACUGGAGGACCGAACCGACUAAUGUUGAAAAAUUAGCGGAUGACUUGUGGCUGGGGGUGAAAGGCCAAUCAAACCGGGAGAUAGCUGGUUCUCCCCGAAAGCUAUUUAGGUAGCGCCUCGUGAAUUCAUCUCCGGGGGUAGAGCACUGUUUCGGCAAGGGGGUCAUCCCGACUUACCAACCCGAUGCAAACUGCGAAUACCGGAGAAUGUUAUCACGGGAGACACACGGCGGGUGCUAACGUCCGUCGUGAAGAGGGAAACAACCCAGACCGCCAGCUAAGGUCCCAAAGUCAUGGUUAAGUGGGAAACGAUGUGGGAAGGCCCAGACAGCCAGGAUGUUGGCUUAGAAGCAGCCAUCAUUUAAAGAAAGCGUAAUAGCUCACUGGUCGAGUCGGCCUGCGCGGAAGAUGUAACGGGGCUAAACCAUGCACCGAAGCUGCGGCAGCGACGCUGAUGCGUUGUUGGGUAGGGGAGCGUUCUGUAAGCCUGCGAAGGUGUGCUGUGAGGCAUGCUGGAGGUAUCAGAAGUGCGAAUGCUGACAUAAGUAACGAUAAAGCGGGUGAAAAGCCCGCUCGCCGGAAGACCAAGGGUUCCUGUCCAACGUUAAUCGGGGCAGGGUGAGUCGACCCCUAAGGCGAGGCCGAAAGGCGUAGUCGAUGGGAAACAGGUUAAUAUUCCUGUACUUGGUGUUACUGCGAAGGGGGGACGGAGAAGGCUAUGUUGGCCGGGCGACGGUUGUCCCGGUUUAAGCGUGUAGGCUGGUUUUCCAGGCAAAUCCGGAAAAUCAAGGCUGAGGCGUGAUGACGAGGCACUACGGUGCUGAAGCAACAAAUGCCCUGCUUCCAGGAAAAGCCUCUAAGCAUCAGGUAACAUCAAAUCGUACCCCAAACCGACACAGGUGGUCAGGUAGAGAAUACCAAGGCGCUUGAGAGAACUCGGGUGAAGGAACUAGGCAAAAUGGUGCCGUAACUUCGGGAGAAGGCACGCUGAUAUGUAGGUGAAGUCCCUCGCGGAUGGAGCUGAAAUCAGUCGAAGAUACCAGCUGGCUGCAACUGUUUAUUAAAAACACAGCACUGUGCAAACACGAAAGUGGACGUAUACGGUGUGACGCCUGCCCGGUGCCGGAAGGUUAAUUGAUGGGGUCAGCGCAAGCGAAGCUCUUGAUCGAAGCCCCGGUAAACGGCGGCCGUAACUAUAACGGUCCUAAGGUAGCGAAAUUCCUUGUCGGGUAAGUUCCGACCUGCACGAAUGGCGUAAUGAUGGCCAGGCUGUCUCCACCCGAGACUCAGUGAAAUUGAACUCGCUGUGAAGAUGCAGUGUACCCGCGGCAAGACGGAAAGACCCCGUGAACCUUUACUAUAGCUUGACACUGAACAUUGAGCCUUGAUGUGUAGGAUAGGUGGGAGGCUUUGAAGUGUGGACGCCAGUCUGCAUGGAGCCGACCUUGAAAUACCACCCUUUAAUGUUUGAUGUUCUAACGUUGACCCGUGAUCCGGGUUGCGGACAGUGUCUGGUGGGUAGUUUGACUGGGGCGGUCUCCUCCUAAAGAGUAACGGAGGAGCACGAAGGUUGGCUAAUCCUGGUCGGACAUCAGGAGGUUAGUGCAAUGGCAUAAGCCAGCUUGACUGCGAGCGUGACGGCGCGAGCAGGUGCGAAAGCAGGUCAUAGUGAUCCGGUGGUUCUGAAUGGAAGGGCCAUCGCUCAACGGAUAAAAGGUACUCCGGGGAUAACAGGCUGAUACCGCCCAAGAGUUCAUAUCGACGGCGGUGUUUGGCACCUCGAUGUCGGCUCAUCACAUCCUGGGGCUGAAGUAGGUCCCAAGGGUAUGGCUGUUCGCCAUUUAAAGUGGUACGCGAGCUGGGUUUAGAACGUCGUGAGACAGUUCGGUCCCUAUCUGCCGUGGGCGCUGGAGAACUGAGGGGGGCUGCUCCUAGUACGAGAGGACCGGAGUGGACGCAUCACUGGUGUUCGGGUUGUCAUGCCAAUGGCACUGCCCGGUAGCUAAAUGCGGAAGAGAUAAGUGCUGAAAGCAUCUAAGCACGAAACUUGCCCCGAGAUGAGUUCUCCCUGACCCUUUAAGGGUCCUGAAGGAACGUUGAAGACGACGACGUUGAUAGGCCGGGUGUGUAAGCGCAGCGAUGCGUUGAGCUAACCGGUACUAAUGAACCGUGAGGCUUAACCUUACAACGCCGAAG